GAAAGCUCUGGAAGAAUCGGGGCGGGGGGGGAGAGAAACUGACGGCCAUGAGUUGUUCGCCGGUGAUUGGUGGCGAGUGAGGUCAUUCUUGUUGCUAAGGCCCGCCGCCUCAGAGAAGCAGAUUUCGAGAAGCGGGAAACAACUGUUCAGCCAGGCCGUGUCACAAUUUCCUCUUCUGAAUUGACCUGAAAUUAAUACUUGCAUCAGAUGAGCAUCUUGCUGCAUUGUGUUGACCUGGGUUGCAGAACCAGUUUUCCACAUCGGCAUAGACACGAGGGCAGGCUGCAUCCUGAGCUUUGCAACAUGAGAGGAUCCUACUUACUGCCAGCACUUCCGCACUGCUGCUCUGGUCAGCUAGCAAAAAAACCCCAACACACACAAGACAACAAUGAAAAAACAGAUGAAUCACCUCUGGAAGGGAGUUCCAAAGAGAGGGGUGGUGAUGAUGCUACGGACCAUGUCUCUGGUCCCUGCCAACCAGAUCUGCAUCACUGGUGAAAUAUCAGAUUUGGAAUCGUACUCAGUCUAGUCUUCGGUCUUACUGGAAUCUCACUGGUUCCUUCCAAAGAAGGAGAUCAGGUAACCUUUAUAUUGUCAAAGCAGGAGGUAAAUGUAUGAUAGUUGUUUUACUAGGCUGAAGGUCAACUGAAACCAAAGUCAGUGUUUUAUCUAGAACUGGAUGACAUUUUAUGUUUCAAAUGUGAAGUGCCAGAUUCUGGUGGUAAAAAAUUAUUCUCCCCAGUUCAAAAGUCCUUCGCUGGGGUAGCCAACUGCAGCAUGUGUUAAAUCACAUCAUCUUUCACACAGAGUUCAUCAUAUGAACAAGCGAAGAACUCUAUGAAGUCCAGAAGCUUAUAUAACCCAAUCUCAACGUAUGUUGAUCCAUGAAAAUAUAUAUAAUGUAGCCUGCUUUUGA
This is a long non-coding RNA of Hemicordylus capensis (graceful crag lizard), 916 nucleotides long. RefSeq lists it as uncharacterized. Lineage: Eukaryota; Metazoa; Chordata; Lepidosauria; Squamata; Cordylidae. The transcript has 3 exons. The record is from RefSeq and is a predicted model, not a curated record.